GAUGAAGAACGCAGCGAAAUGCGAUAAGUAAUGCGAAUUGCAGAAUUUCCGUGAGUCAUCGAAUCUUUGAACGCACAUUGCGCCCACUGGUAUUCCGGUGGGCAUGCCUGUUCGAGCGUCAUUAUAACCCCUCAAGCUCAGCUUGGUGUUGGGGCCUGCUGCACUGGCAGCCCUUAAAAUCAGUGGCGGCGCCAUCUGGCUCUAAGCGUAGUAAUUCUUCUCGCUAUGGAGUCCUGGUGGAUGCUUGCCAUCAACCCCCAAUUUUUCUAUGGUUGACCUCGGAUCAGGUAGGGAUACCCGCUGAACUUAAGCAUAUCAAUAAGCGGAGGA
This 330-nucleotide unclassified non-coding RNA is filed under the name soil metagenome. RNAcentral's name for it is "partial contains 5.8S ribosomal RNA, internal transcribed spacer 2, and large subunit ribosomal RNA". The stretch from base 1 to 121 matches the Rfam family "5.8S ribosomal RNA", at positions 35 to 154 of the family's 154-position model. The record is from RNAcentral.